GACGAACGCUGGCGGCGUGCCUAAUACAUGCAAGUCGAACGCAGUGGGGACGGGUGAGUAACACGUGGGUAACCUCCCAUCAGAGGGGAUAACACUUGGAAACAGGUACUAAACCGAUACUGAUGGAUGGACCCUGAGUGAAUUAGCUAGUUGGUGGGGUAACGGCUCACCAAGGCCACGAGCCAUAGCCGGUCUGAGAGGGUGAUCGGCCAAACGGGGACUGAGACACGGCCCAGACUCCUACGGGAGGCAGCAGUGGGGAAUCGUCGGCAAUGGGCGAAAGUCUGACCGAGCAACGCCGCGUGAGUGAAGAAGGUUUUAGGAUCGUAAAACUCUGUUGUUAGGGAAGCGGUAUCUAACGAGAAAGCCACGGCUAACUACGUGCCAGCAGCCGCGGUAAUAC
Molecule: ribosomal RNA, 403 nt
Filed under: uncultured bacterium
Lineage: Bacteria
Description: partial 16S ribosomal RNA
Rfam family: Bacterial small subunit ribosomal RNA
Source: RNAcentral